GCCCGCUACAGAAACUUAAAGGAAGUUCGACGGGGGCCCGCACAAGCGGUGGAGCAUGUGGUUUAAUUCGAUGAUACGCGAGGAACCUUACCUGGGCUAGAACGCAAUCGGAAUCAGGCCGAAAGGUCUGCGCCAGCGAUGGCCGCUUGCGAGGUGCUGCAUGGUUGUCGUCAGCUCGUGCCGUGAGGUGCGGGUUAAGUCCCAUAACGAGCGCAACCCCUACUGCUAGUUGCCAGCGGGUCAUGCCGGGGACUCUAGCGGAACUGCCAGCGUAAGCUGCGAGGAAGGUGGGGAUGACGUCAAAUCAGCACGGCCCUUAUGACCUGGGCUACAAACGUGAUACAAUGGCUGGAACAAAGGGAUGCGAAGCAGUGAUGUGGAGCGAAACCCAUAAAAACAGUCUCAGUUCGGAUUGAAGUCUGCAACUCGACUUCAUGAAGUCGGAAUCGCUAGUAAUCGCGGAUCAGAACGCCGCGGUGAAUACGUUCUCGGGGUUU
This 497-nucleotide ribosomal RNA is filed under the name uncultured Acholeplasma sp. RNAcentral's name for it is "bacterial SSU rRNA". It matches the Rfam family "Bacterial small subunit ribosomal RNA", at positions 903 to 1382 of the family's 1533-position model. Lineage: Bacteria; Bacillati; Mycoplasmatota; Mollicutes; Acholeplasmatales; Acholeplasmataceae. The record is from RNAcentral.